GUCAAGUGAAUAAGUGCAUCAGGCGGAUGCCUUGGCGAUGAUAGGCGACGAAGGACGUGUAAGCCUGCGAAAAGCGCGGGGGAGCUGGCAAUAAAGCUAUGAUUCCGCGAUGUCCGAAUGGGGAAACCCACUGCAUUCUGUGCAGUAUCCUAAGUUGAAUACAUAGGCUUAGAGAAGCGAACCCGGAGAACUGAACCAUCUAAGUACCCGGAGGAAAAGAAAUCAACCGAGAUUCCGCAAGUAGUGGCGAGCGAACGCGGAGGAGCCUGUACGUAAUAACUGUCGAGAUAGGAGAACAAGCUGGGAAGCUUGACCAUAGCGGGUGACAGUCCCGUAUUCGAAAUCUCAACAGCGGUACUAAGCGUACGAAAAGUAGGGCGGGACACGUGAAAUCCUGUCUGAAUAUGGGGGGACCAUCCUCCAAGGCUAAAUACUCAUCAUCGACCGAUAGUGAACCAGUACCGUGAGGGAAAGGCGAAAAGAACCCCGGGAGGGGAGUGAAACAGAACCUGAAACCUGAUGCAUACAAACAGUGGGAGCGCCCUAGUGGUGUGACUGCGUACCUUUUGUAUAAUGGGUCAACGACUUACAUUCAGUAGCGAGCUUAACCGGAUAGGGGAGGCGUAGGGAAACCGAGUCUUAAUAGGGCGAUGAGUUGCUGGGUGUAGACCCGAAACCGAGUGAUCUAUCCAUGGUCAGGUUGAAGGUGCCGUAACAGGUACUGGAGGACCGAACCCACGCAUGUUGCAAAAUGCGGGGAUGAGCUGUGGGUAGGGGUGAAAGGCUAAACAAACUCGGAGAUAGCUGGUUCUCCCCGAAAACUAUUUAGGUAGUGCCUCGAGCAAGACACUGAUGGGGGUAAAGCACUGUUAUGGCUAGGGGGUUAUUGCAACUUACCAACCCAUGGCAAACUCAGAAUACCAUCAAGUGGUUCCUCGGGAGACAGACAGCGGGUGCUAACGUCCGUUGUCAAGAGGGAAACAACCCAGACCGCCGGCUAAGGUCCCAAAUGAUAGAUUAAGUGGUAAACGAAGUGGGAAGGCACAGACAGCCAGGAUGUUGGCUUAGAAGCAGCCAUCAUUUAAAGAAAGCGUAAUAGCUCACUGGUCGAGUCGUCCUGCGCGGAAGAUGUAACGGGGCUCAAAUCUAUAACCGAAGCUGCGGAUGCCGGUUUACCGGCAUGGUAGGGGAGCGUUCUGUAGGCUGAUGAAGGUGCAUUGUAAAGUGUGCUGGAGGUAUCAGAAGUGCGAAUGUUGACAUGAGUAGCGAUAAAGCGGGUGAAAAGCCCGCUCGCCGAAAGCCCAAGGUUUCCUACGCAACGUUCAUCGGCGUAGGGUAAGUCGGCCCCUAAGGCGAGGCAGAAAUGCGUAGUCGAUGGGAAACAGGUUAAUAUUCCUGUACUUGAUUCAAAUGCGAUGUGGGGACGGAGAAGGUUAGGUUGGCAAGCUGUUGGAAUAGCUUGUUUAAGCCGGUAGGUGGAAGACUUAGGCAAAUCCGGGUUUUCUUAACACCGAGAAGUGAUGACGAGUGUCUACGGACACGAAGCAACCGAUACCACGCUUCCAGGAAAAGCCACUAAGCUUCAGUUUGAAUCGAACCGUACCGCAAACCGACACAGGUGGGCAGGAUGAGAAUUCUAAGGCGCUUGAGAGAACUCGGGAGAAGGAACUCGGCAAAUUGAUACCGUAACUUCGGGAGAAGGUAUGCCCUCUAAGGUUAAGGACUUGCUCCGUAAGCCCCGGAGGGUCGCAGAGAAUAGGUGGCUGCGACUGUUUAUUAAAAACACAGCACUCUGCCAACACGAAAGUGGACGUAUAGGGUGUGACGCCUGCCCGGUGCCGGAAGGUUAAUUGAAGAUGUGCAAGCAUCGGAUCGAAGCCCCGGUAAACGGCGGCCGUAACUAUAACGGUCCUAAGGUAGCGAAAUUCCUUGUCGGGUAAGUUCCGACCCGCACGAAUGGCGUAACGAUGGCCACACUGUCUCCUCCCGAGACUCAGCGAAGUUGAAGUGGUUGUGAAGAUGCAAUCUACCCGCUGCUAGACGGAAAGACCCCGUGAACCUUUACUGUAGCUUUGCAUUGGACUUUGAAGUCACUUGUGUAGGAUAGGUGGGAGGCUUGGAAGCAGAGACGCCAGUCUCUGUGGAGUCGUCCUUGAAAUACCACCCUGGUGUCUUUGAGGUUCUAACCCAGACCCGUCAUCCGGGUCGGGGACCGUGCAUGGUAGGCAGUUUGACUGGGGCGGUCUCCUCCCAAAGCGUAACGGAGGAGUUCGAAGGUUACCUAGGUCCGGUCGGAAAUCGGACUGAUAGUGCAAUGGCAAAAGGUAGCUUAACUGCGAGACCGACAAGUCGGGCAGGUGCGAAAGCAGGACAUAGUGAUCCGGUGGUUCUGUAUGGAAGGGCCAUCGCUCAACGGAUAAAAGGUACUCCGGGGAUAACAGGCUGAUUCCGCCCAAGAGUUCAUAUCGACGGCGGAGUUUGGCACCUCGAUGUCGGCUCAUCACAUCCUGGGGCUGUAGUCGGUCCCAAGGGUAUGGCUGUUCGCCAUUUAAAGUGGUACGUGAGCUGGGUUUAAAACGUCGUGAGACAGUUUGGUCCCUAUCUGCAGUGGGCGUUGGAAGUUUGACGGGGGCUGCUCCUAGUACGAGAGGACCGGAGUGGACGAACCUCUGGUGUACCGGUUGUAACGCCAGUUGCAUAGCCGGGUAGCUAAGUUCGGAAGAGAUAAGCGCUGAAAGCAUCUAAGCA
Molecule: ribosomal RNA, 2748 nt
Filed under: Neisseria gonorrhoeae
Lineage: Bacteria; Pseudomonadati; Pseudomonadota; Betaproteobacteria; Neisseriales; Neisseriaceae
Description: bacterial LSU rRNA
Rfam family: Bacterial large subunit ribosomal RNA
Source: RNAcentral